Molecule: long non-coding RNA, 819 nt
Filed under: Salvia miltiorrhiza (redroot sage)
Lineage: Eukaryota; Viridiplantae; Streptophyta; Magnoliopsida; Lamiales; Lamiaceae
Description: long non-coding RNA (SMIL_LNC010765)
Source: RNAcentral
UCAUGCAACUCUCUUUAGAUUAUUUUAUCUAUCAUUCAGUUAUGUCGGCGAUGGCGUGGGUAAUUUUCUCUGAGUAAGGCGUCGUUCAUUUUGUCAUGUACUUAUUUUGCAUUUGUUUUCUUCUUUAGAUUUACUUUCCCAAUCACUUUUGGGUUUCUCUUUCAUUUUUGAAUAUAUUUUUUCGAUUAGCUUCUCCAUUCAAAUAUUUGUUAAAUAACUGAUUUUUGUAUUUCUCCAUUUUCUAGAUGUAGUUGUGAUAUUCAGUUCAAUUUUUGUCUUUCUCUUUUUAGAUCUAGUUGUGAUAUACUUUUUGCGUUUCUCUUGACAUGAAAACUAAUUUGUAUGAUUCAUUCCAAAAAAGUGGCACAAUUAAUUAUUUCAACAAAAAAAUCCUAGCCUUGUAGUACUUGUUUCAUCAAAUCCAAUUACAAUUCAUGAACAAAAUUUGAAUCAAAUGAGUAAAAUAACACAAAAUCUCACUGAUCUAAGUUAGAUCUAACUAAUGCCUAGACUAAAUCUUAAGUUUCUUCAUUUUCUUUGUUGAUCUCGAACUAGAUCUCACAUAUCACGGUCAUAUCUACAAAUUUUCAAUAGAAAUAAUGGAGACGAUAGUGCGACCGUGGCAACAGAUUGUGGAGUUCACCAGAUUUUGGAGAGGCAUAUGGUGUUUUCAUCGGGUUAGAAUGAGGCAUAAGCCGUCAAUGGCGGUGAAUUAUAGAAGAUGAUGACUUGGCACAUGUGGUGACAGCGACGUCAUCGAAUUUUCAGAGGAUGACAACGACGUUCGUUAGGGGAGAGAGAGAGAGAAAGAAAAGGGGA